RNAcentral lists this ribosomal RNA (255 nucleotides) under uncultured bacterium. Its description in RNAcentral is "partial 16S ribosomal RNA". It matches the Rfam family "Bacterial small subunit ribosomal RNA", at positions 524 to 776 of the family's 1533-position model. The record is from RNAcentral.
UACGGGGGGGUGCGAGCGUUGUCCGGAAUCACUGGGCGUAAAGGGCGCGUAGGUGGCUUUGUAAGUUUGCGGUGAAAGCCCGGGGCUCAACCCCGGGUCUGCCGUGGAUACUGCAAGGCUUGAGUACUGUAGAGGCAGGUAGAAUAUCGGGUGUAGCGGUGGAAUGCGUAGAGAUCCGAUAGAAGACCGGUGGCGAAGGCGGCCUGCUGGGCAGUAACUGACACUGGAGGCGCGACAGCGUGGGGAGCAAACAGG